This 430-nucleotide ribosomal RNA is filed under the name uncultured eukaryote. Its description in RNAcentral is "SSU rRNA". It matches the Rfam family "Eukaryotic small subunit ribosomal RNA", at positions 592 to 1017 of the family's 1831-position model. The record is from RNAcentral.
CAAUAGCGUAUAUUAAAGUUGUUGCAGUUAAAAAGCUCGUAGUUGGAUUUCUGGCAUGAUGCGCCUGGCCCGCCUCGAUUACGAGUGUGUGUGCGAGCGCGCGUCUGCCAUCCAUUUGCAGAAUGUAUCUACCCUUCAUUGGGCCGGAUAUGUGAUGUAAAUCUUUUACUUUUGAAAAAAUUUAGAGUGUUUAAAGCAGGCUUUUGCUAUGAAUACAUUAGCAUGGAAUAAUAAUCUAGGACUUCGGUUCUAUUUUGUGGUUUCUAGUACUGAAGUAAUGAUUGAUAGGGAUAGUUGGGGGUGCUAGUAUUGGGCGGCCAGAGGUGAAAUUUCUUGGAUUCGCUCAAGACUAACUUAUGCGAAAGCAUUCACCAAGGAUGUCUUCUUUAAUCAAGAACGAAAGUUGGGGAUCGAAGAUGAUCAGAUACCA